This is a non-coding RNA of Ictidomys tridecemlineatus (thirteen-lined ground squirrel), 75 nucleotides long. The record is from Rfam. Lineage: Eukaryota; Metazoa; Chordata; Mammalia; Rodentia; Sciuridae.
GUUAAGAUGGCAGGGCCCAGCAAUUGUGUAACACUUCAAACUUUAUUACCAGAGGUUCAAUUCCUCAUCUUAACA